AUGGUCGUGCUUUCUGUGCCCACCGAAGUCACCGUGAUCCCAUUAGACAUGGAAGGUACCACACCACUGUUGCUUUCUUGAAGGACAUUUUAUUCCCUUACCUCAAAGAAAAUGUUAAAGAGUAUCUGCAGACACAGUGGGAAGAAGAGGCCAGCGGGAGGUCAGUCUUUGGAGAAAACAGGCUGAAGAGGACGCCCAGCUGGUUGGACUGUUCCUAUCUCUGCAGCGUCUGAGAGUGGAGUGGAUGAUCCGCAACAGAUGAUCCAGGCCGUGGUAGAUAUGUGUGCUGGCAGAUGUACCUGGAUCGAAAGACCAUUGCACUCAAACAGCUGCAGGGCCACGUGUGGAGGGCGGCGUUCGCAGCUGGGAGCAGGAAAGCAGAGUUCUUCGCAGAUAUAGUUCCAGCUGUCAGGAAGCGGAGAGAGGCUGAAAUGAAGAUGUAUAUCUAUUCCCUAGCGAGUGUGGAGGCACAGAAACUGUUGUUUAGGCAUUCUACGGAGGAAGAUAUUCUUGAGCUUGUUGAUGGUCACUUUGACACCAAGAUUGGACACAAAGUGGAGAGUGAAAGUUAUAGAAAGAUUGUAGACAGCAUUGGGUGCUCAACCAAAAACAUUUUGUUUCUGACAGACGUUACUCAAGAGGCCAGGGCGGCUGAGGGAGCAGCUGUCAUGUAGCUGUAGUGGUGAGCAACACAGGAUUAACAGAUGAUAAGAAGACUUGCUACAGCCUCAUCACAUCCUUCAGCGAACUAUACCUGCCUCCCUCAACCUAGAGGAGGGUUGCUAAGGCAGACCGCACUGUUCCCAGAGUUGUCCCUGUCACAUCCGGGUUUAUUCUAAUGGUGGAAGUAACUCACUUAAAAAACAUAUACAUGUACACAUUUAUAUGCAAGUAUAUAUGUAGGCUCAAAUUAACUUUCACAGGUACAUAAGUGAAAGAAGAUUCAGUUCAGUUAAUACAAAACUUAUUUAAAGAUGCUUUAUAGUUAGAAAUUGUUUGAAAUUAUACUCUAACCCUUACUGAGGGCAAAGCGUAGUUGAUAGAAGAAAUUAAGUACCUAUCUAAUGUGCUAUGUGUACCAAGUCGUAUACUAAAAUGGAAAGCUAGUUUUGAGAAAGUAUUUAGAACCCUUGUUAUUUUAAAAAAGAAAUAUUUCAAAGACUUAUUUGCAAUAAUAAUUCAUUGCUCCUGUUUGUGAUUUUGAUUAUAACAGCUAUAUUUUAUAUUUGCCUCUCUAUAUAUAAUCAAAGAUGAAGGUAUUUAUUUCUGCUCCAAAAGAGCAAAAUUGGGAAAGAAAACUCACUUAAGUCUUGAUCAAACAAGUGUCUUUUACUUAAGAAGAAACUUGGUAAUCAUUGUGGCACCCACAACAAGCAUUUGCCUUACCAGUAAAAAAGGUGCACUGAUUUAACAGCUAGAACAGAGAUUUGGUUCUUAAUGUUUAACAGAACAGUUCUAAUCCCAUGGGGUGUUAUCAUUAUAGAUUUUAUAGUUGCCUUUCUAACUAACAUAGUUUGAGAAUCUUCUUUGCUAUUUACUAUUAAAAAACGUUUUACAGAAAUCAGUCCAUAGGAUUAAGUUGAGCCCUAAUAUGUAAGAUUUUCCUCUGGAAUGGAUGUGAGAAAUAUAAAUUUUAUAAUAGCAGUAUUUAUCUUGGUUUAAUUCUAAUAGGUUGUCAUGUUAAUUUCAUGUCAUGAUUAAUAAAAGCAUUUUU
Molecule: non-coding RNA, 1714 nt
Organism: Callithrix jacchus (white-tufted-ear marmoset)
Lineage: Eukaryota; Metazoa; Chordata; Mammalia; Primates; Cebidae
Source: RefSeq, a predicted model, not a curated record